GGGCCCGCACAAGCGGCGGAGCAUGCGGAUUAAUUCGAUGCAACGCGAAGAACCUUACCUGGGUUUGACAUGGCCGCAAAACUCGCAGAGAUGCGGGGUCCUUCGGGGGCGGUCACAGGUGGUGCAUGGCUGUCGUCAGCUCGUGUCGUGAGAUGUUGGGUUAAGUCCCGCAACGAGCGCAACCCUUGUUCGAUGUUGCCAGCGGGUAAUGCCGGGGACUCAUCGAAGACUGCCGGGGUCAACUCGGAGGAAGGUGGGGAUGAGGUCAAGUCAUCAUGCCCCUUAUGUCCAGGGCUUCACGCAUGCUACAAUGGCCGGUACAAAGGGCUGCGAUACCGUGAGGUGGAGCGAAUCCCAAAAAGCCGGUCUCAGUUCGGAUCGGGGUCUGCAACUCGACCCCGUGAAGUCGGAGUCGCUAGUAAUCGCAGAUCAGCAACGCUGCGGUGAAUACGUUCCCGGGCCUU
Molecule: ribosomal RNA, 464 nt
Filed under: uncultured bacterium
Lineage: Bacteria
Description: bacterial SSU rRNA
Rfam family: Bacterial small subunit ribosomal RNA
Source: RNAcentral